RNAcentral lists this ribosomal RNA (421 nucleotides) under uncultured microorganism. Its description in RNAcentral is "bacterial SSU rRNA". It matches the Rfam family "Bacterial small subunit ribosomal RNA", at positions 9 to 428 of the family's 1533-position model. The record is from RNAcentral.
GAGUUUGAUCUUGGCUCAGAUUGAACGCUGGCGGCAUGCCUUACACAUGCAAGUCGAACGGCAGCAUGAUCUAGCUUGCUAGAUUGAUGGCGAGUGGCGAACGGGUGAGUAAUACAUCGGAACGUGCCCUGUAGUGGGGAUAACUAGUCGAAAGAUUAGCUAAUACCGCAUACGACCUGAGGGUGAAAGUGGGGGACCGCAAGGCCUCAUGCUAUAGGAGCGGCCGAUGUCUGAUUAGCUAGUUGGUGGGGUAAAGGCCCGACCAAGGCGACGAUCAGUAGCUGGUCUGAGAGGACGAUCAGCCACACUGGGACUGAGACACGGCCCAGACUCCUACGGGAGGCAGCAGUGGGGAAUUUUGGACAAUGGGCGAAAGCCCGAUCCAGCAAUGCCGCGUGUGUGAAGAAGGCCUCGGUUGUAA